This 217-nucleotide ribosomal RNA is filed under the name uncultured bacterium. RNAcentral's name for it is "partial 16S ribosomal RNA". It matches the Rfam family "Bacterial small subunit ribosomal RNA", at positions 328 to 539 of the family's 1533-position model. The record is from RNAcentral.
ACGCUCGACACCUACGGGAGCAGCAGUGAGGAAUAUUGGUCAAUGGACGCAAGUCUGAACCAGCCAUGCCGCGUGCAGGAUGACGGCUCUAUGAGUUGUAAACUGCUUUUGUACGAGGGUAAACGCAGAUACGUGUAUCUGUCUGAAAGUAUCGUACGAAUAAGGAUCGGCUAACUCCGUGCCAACAGCCGCGGUAAUCUGAGCGGGCUGGCAAGGC